UUUAAGCAUAUCACUCAGUGGAGGAACUGCAAGCAACUGCGCUUGCCCCAGUAAUGGCGAAUGAACCAGCAACACACAUGGCUCUGCCCGAAGUGAGAGUGCCCCUGUCUCGGCUCUUGUGGAAUCUCAGCAAAUGCUGUGGGCUGUACGUGGAGCAGUCGGCUGUGUCACCGGUCUGGACCAUGGCACCAGGGAGCGCCCUGGAAGGGGCCACGCCAGAGGGCUACCGUCCCCUACACAACAGUUGAGUGCCGUUGGUCCGCCGAGGUGCGGCCGGGUGCAUCCCGGAGUAGAGUGGCUUGGGACUGCAGUUUGAAGCGUGAGGUGUAUCCCUCACAAGGUGGCAUACAGACCUGGGACCGAUAGCGCACAAGUAGAGUGAUCGAAGGAUGCAAAGAACUCCGUGAAGAGGGUUAAAAGUCCCUGAAGCCUCGGCAGGGCCGGCGGUGAGUGGUGCUGUGGCUCCAAACCACACGUGCUCUCUCACCUCGCCGCGGAAAAGCAGUGCUGACGCAGUCGCAAGGCGCACGGGCAGCAAUGCCCUGUGUGUCUCUCCAUGUCUGGGCGUAUGUCUCAACACAUAUAUCCCUGGGGCCGGGCCCCCGUUGUUGUCGAGCAGAGAGAGGGUGUGCGGACCCCACAGCCGUGUCCCACACACCUGCUCCGCGUCACUCCUCCUGAUCAACUGGUCGUUUCCUCCUCCUGAUGCUGUGAUGGUCUCUCGAAGCCGAUGUGAUCUGUCUGGUCGGCUGGCGUUUGAACGUGGAAUGCAAUCCAUCAAAUCUGGGGAUAGAUGAUGCUUGAUGGUGUGGCGUGUGGGGAGUGGGCGCAGAGCCCCCGACGCUCCGCCCCACCGGGAGAGGCAAGGCACCCGCGGUCCGCAUCCUCGUGGCGGCGUCCGGUCCCCCUCAAAAAGGGGCCGCGUACGAAUUCCGUCCUUGGCCCUGUGGAUCGCCGGGGUUCGUGCGGUCCCUCCCGUGUGGGCGUCGAGCGAGAGGGCACGGCCCAAACACGCCGGAGGCGCUCCCUCCUCUCUCUCCCUCUCCGCGGGCCGGGUGCGAUUGCACCGCUGGCGAGCAGCAGUUGUGGCACAUGUGGGCUAUUGUGAUGAUUGAGCAAAGACACACCCGUGGCUGGUGUGCAGCAACCCGUAUCAGUAUCUGUGAAUGGCAAACAAAAAAAGUGAUUCCGGAACCCGGGGAACAAGGGCACCCCGGCAGGCAGUUGUUGGCGCAACCCAGAGCGUGUGUUGUCCGGGCGGAGGCUGCGAGCACUCCGGGGGGUCUCGGCCCCUCGUCGGGUGUCUCUCUCCGUCGCGCUCGGCUCACCGGUCGUCUCCCCGUCCAAGAGCGCUGUGCGAUUUGACUGUGGGGUGUGGGAACCGCGCCCGCGCUGGGCCGCUGGGUGCGCGUGUGUGUGUGUGUGGCGAGGGGUCAAACCCGGACCACCACCACGACCGCUCAGCCCCCAGCCGGAGUGGACCCACAACAGCAGCAAAACAAACAGGUCUGUGAAUGUGCGGAUGGCAACGCACAGGGCAACACCAGUCUAUGGAGCAACCCGAAUGGAAAAGGAGUGAAGAGCACCGACCCUCUCUCCCCGGAGAGAGCAGGCACAGUCCAGUGGAGCACAAAAGCAGAGCAUCUCUCGUCACACCCAGUCAAAAGUCUCCAGAUGGAGCAACGGCAGAGAAACAAGUGGUAAGUUCCAAGCGUCCUCGGGCCAGCCCCGGACUUCGGUCGCUGAGCCCCUGUCUCCGGACAGGGACGCCAGUCGCGGCAGUCCCUGGGGUGGCACCAUGCCCGUCCAGGGCCCGAGGUUCCUAUGCAGCGUUUUCGAGAAUCUGUGGCAUCUCAGACUCCUGUGUGCGGGCUACACACAGAACAACAACACGAGAAGAGAGUGUGGGCUGAUGAUGAGGAUGGCGAAUGUGCUUUGUGGCUGAUACACCAAACACCGUGGCUGCUGUGCGGGGACCACGGUGUGCCUGUCCUGAACGCGUGGCUCGGCUCUGUGUGCGCUGGCCACACCACACAACGUGAUGAUGAGCUUUGGGGAUCUGCGAGGAAGCCCAAACCAACGGGAUCACGGUCCGCCCUCUGUCGGUGGGACCCCCGUCGGGGCGGCGACAGGGUAAAAUGGGCCAAUCGAGAACACCGGAGGUGCGGGUGGAGCCUCCGCAAACCAUCAGCGCUUGUGUGUGUGCGUGCCAGUGGCACACGGAGCAAGAGGGCGCGUCAUGCCAAGGCGCCCAAACACCCGGACCAGAGCAACGGAGCGGUGGUGCAUGGAUGAACACGGGAUUGUCUCCCUCUUUGGCUGUGUGUGCGGCUGUGUGUGCCUUUCGAGAUUCAGCAGCAACCCUGGACGCCCCGAAUGGGGGACGAAGAGAGCCAAGGGGCCGGCCGCCCCGACGAACAUGUGCACGCUGGAGAUGAGCGCCCAGCAACGGCCUGUCUGUGUGUGAUGCCCGUCGUUGUGUGUGUGGUGGUGGUCCCACCCACAACAACCACAGUCAAGAAGAAACCAAAAGAAUCGGAGGAGGAUCUCUCAACAAAGCCCUGGCGGUGUCUCCGGACACUGCCAGGCACCCCGGCCCCGACACCAGUGGAUUUCCUCUGGGGUCCUGGCGUCCGCACCGGUGGCUGCACCAUCCUGCUGGUGGCCGCCGUGCCUGGACCGCCGAUCCCCCGCUGGGGGCCGGGUGCGCAAGGCAGCUGAGCUUGGCCGAAUCCCAAACCUGUCAGUGCCGCUCACUGCCCGUCUUGAAACACGGACCAAGGAGUCUAUGGAGCUUGCGCAUGUUGCCUGGUGGAGGAGGCUUUCCCCACACGAAUCACAAACCGCAAGGGCGCGGUGAAGGCAACCAUCCCAUUCCAGAUGGUGGCACCUGCAUGGAAUCACCGGAUCCGCAGUCCAGUGGACAGGGUUUUGAGUGCUUGCAAGGUCCAUGGGACCCGAAAGGUGGUGAACUAUACCGUCCUACAGUGAAGCCAUGGGAAACUGUGGUGGAAGCUGGUCGCUGUUCUGACGUGCAAAUCGUGUAGCCUGAGUGCGGCAUAGGGGUGAAAGGCCAAUCGAGCCACCUAGUAGCUGGUUCCCUUCGAAGUUUCCCUCAGGAUAGCUGGGCUCAAGUGCAAUCGUGGAAUCCUCAGCCACUCUUCUGGUUGUGGUUACGUCCGGUAAAGCAACGCAUGAGAGGCAAGACUCCGGGGGAGCCCCUGCUCCUCGACCUAUUCUCGAACUGUGAAUGGGCGUGGCAAACCCAGCACAAGGCAUGCUUCUUCACUGUGCGCCCGGAGGCCGCCUGAAAACCGGUUCUCCCUGGGCCUCUUCUGAGCGUGUUUGGCAACAGUCUGGUUUGAUGCAACACAGCCCCACGCGUGCGUGUGCGGGCGGGAGAGAGGAGCCCCAAUGGGACGAGGACGAGACACAACGCAAAAAGGGCACCGGGGAAGAGCCACCCCGUGUGUGCUGUGGUGUUGGUGGGUGGUGGGGGUGUUGUCGACGCGGUCUGACUCCGGACAGGAGCCCGCGGAGGCACCCACCCACCCACCCACCCACACACGCGCCGGGUGUGUGUCCUCUCCCCCGGUGUGUGUGUGUGCUCUCCCCGCUCGCUCUCCCCCCGAGCGCAGCGCGAGACCCAAUCGGGAAGGAUGGUGCAUUUGACAGGAUUCUAUGUGAACACAAGUGCCUAUGUGGGCCAUGACUGGUAAGCAGUGCUGGCGAUGCGGGGUGCUCCGAGAGUGGAUCUACAGAUCCCGGAUGCUGGCUCAUACUCAGAUCCCACAAAGGAUGUCGCUUGCUCUGGAUAGCAGGACGGUGGCCAUGAAGGUUGGAACCCGCUGAGGAAUGUGUAACAACUCACCUGCCGAAGCGUGCGGCUCCGAAAAUGGAUGGUGCCCAAGUCAGUGGAGUGCUUGUCCCUCACAGUCCACCCUCGCUGUGGAGGGCGACAAACCCAAACAAGCAGAGCAUCGUGGUGUAGAGAGGGCAUGGGAGACCUGGCCGCUCCGGCGGGGGCCACCCCUGGCUGGAGCGUCUCCCGGCGCAGAUCUUGGUUGUAGUAGCGAGUACUCCAUCGGGUGAUGAGCGGCAAACACAACACCUCCGCUGUGUGCGGUUGAGGACUGGAGUGGAGCAGGUUUCCACACCAAACAGCCGUUGAAUGUGGGUCAACCGGCCGUGAGCCAAGUGGUAAGUUCACUGAGCAACCAAAGCUGCCCCCUCGCCGGGCGCAGGAGUGGCAAACAGGCAGGCGAGUGCAACAUUCUGCCGUGGUGGGAUCGGGGCGCUCUGCGGUGGUGACACCCAGAGAUCCCGGCCCGAGCAAGCUUCGGGGCAGUGAAGCCCCCGAGGAGUUAUCGUUUCCUCCUGAUGCAGACCCAUGUGGGCUAUUGAUUGGCAUGCCAGAUGGUGGUGUAUGUCCUCCGCUCAGCAAGGCAGCGCGGCCUCCGCGCUGGUGGUGGUGAGAACAGCACAGACACAGCAGCGACGUGCCCCGUGCACGGAAGAGCACAUGUCACAUCUCCUGUGAAAGACAAAAAAAGCAGUGGUGGUGGUCACUGGCUCCAAUGAAAGGCUUGCUCGGCUGAGGUGCCCCAGAUCCCUGGGCCCUCGUACUGAAUCACCGCAGCUGGUCUCCUCGGCAAGACGCCGCUAGUCCACGGACGAAAUGCAGCUAAGGGAAGUCGGCAAACUGGCUGUGCACCCUCGGAAGAUGCAGUGGCUCCAGAGGCCAGGCCGCGGAGGUCCUGCCGCGAGGCCCUGUGUGGUUGUGUGCGGAGGCCGUCACCCCGUGCGCGGGUUCUUCGGUGUGCCCCUCAACAAGGCACCCGGCCCCGUCCGGUGCGUGCGUGGCCCCACCGUCGCACCGCACUCUCCCUCCGGCGGGGGCCAGCCCCCCAGCCCCCUCGGGGGCCGGGCUGCGCCACCCUCCCGUCUACACAGUGGCUCAUGUGGAACUGUUGCCGUGCAGGGGAAUCUGACUGUUUAAUUGAAACACAGCUUUGUGAAGGGACCAGCUGGCUGGUGCCAUGAGGUGACUUCUGCCCAGUGCUCUGAUUGUCAAUGCGAAGAGAUUCAGUCAAGCGCGGGUAAACGGCGGGAGUAACUAUGACUCUCUUAAGGUAGCCAAAUGCCUCGUCGACCAAUUAUUGACGCGCAUGAAUGGAUCAACGAGAUUCCUGCUGUCCCUAGCCGCUGUCUGGUGAACCAACAACCCAAGGGAACGGGCUUGGAUGCGUCAGCGGGGAAAGAAGAGCCUGUUGAGA
This 5276-nucleotide ribosomal RNA is filed under the name Euglena splendens. RNAcentral's name for it is "partial large subunit ribosomal RNA". The stretch from base 2631 to 5276 matches the Rfam family "Eukaryotic large subunit ribosomal RNA", at positions 1 to 2421 of the family's 3401-position model. The record is from RNAcentral. Lineage: Eukaryota; Euglenozoa; Euglenophyceae; Euglenales; Euglenaceae.